This 408-nucleotide ribosomal RNA is filed under the name uncultured bacterium. RNAcentral describes it as "partial 16S ribosomal RNA". It matches the Rfam family "Bacterial small subunit ribosomal RNA", at positions 28 to 526 of the family's 1533-position model. The record is from RNAcentral.
GACGAACGCUGGCGGCGUGCUUAACACAUGCAAGUCGAACGAAGUGGCGAACGGGUGAGUAACGCGUAAUCAACCUGCCCAUCGGAGGGGGACAACAGUUGGAAACGACUGCUAAUACCGCAUACGGAAGGAGGGGACUGCGGCUGAUUGGCUCGUUGGGGGGGGGACGGCCCACCAAGGCGAUGAUCAGUAGGCGGUCUGAGAGGAUGAACGGCCACAUUGGGACUGAGAAACGGCCCAGACUCCCACGGGAGGGAGGAGUGGGGAAUCUUCCGCAAUGGACGAAAGGCUGACUGAGCAACGCCGCGGGAGUGAUGGCGGCCUUCGGGUUGGAAAGCUCUGUUAAUCGGGACGCGGUACCGGAAGAGAAAGCCACGGCUAACUACGUGCCAGCAGCCGCGGUAAUAC